GACGAACCCUUUCGGCGUGCUUAACACAUGCAAGUCGAACGGAAAGGCCCUGCUUUUGUGGGGUGCUCGAGUGGCGAACGGGUGAGUAACACGUGAGUAACCUGCCCUUGACUUUGGGAUAACUUCAGGAAACUGGGGCUAAUACCGGAUAGGAGCUCCUGCUGCAUGGUGGGGGUUGGAAAGUUUCGGCGGUUGGGGAUGGACUCGCGGCUUAUCAGCUUGUUGGUGGGGUAGUGGCUUACCAAGGCUUUGACGGGUAGCCGGCCUGAGAGGGUGACCGGCCACAUUGGGACUGAGAUACGGCCCAGACUCCUACGGGAGGCAGCAGUGGGGAAUAUUGCACAAUGGGCGGAAGCCUGAUGCAGCAACGCCGCGUGCGGGAUGACGGCCUUCGGGUUGUAAACCGCUUUCGCCUGUGACGAAGCGUGAGUGACGGUAAUGGGUAAAGAAGCACCGGCUAACUACGUGCCAGCAGCCGCGGUGAUACGUAGGGUGCGAGCGUUGUCCGGAUUUAUUGGGCGUAAAGGGCUCGUAGGUGGUUGAUCGCGUCGGAAGUGUAAUCUUGGGGCUUAACCCUGAGCGUGCUUUCGAUACGGGUUGACUUGAGGAAGGUAGGGGAGAAUGGAAUUCCUGGUGGAGCGGUGGAAUGCGCAGAUAUCAGGAGGAACACCAGUGGCGAAGGCGGUUCUCUGGGCCUUUCCUGACGCUGAGGAGCGAAAGCGUGGGGAGCGAACAGGCUUAGAUACCCUGGUAGUCCACGCUGUAAACGGUGGGUACUAGGUGUGGGGUCCAUUCCACGGGUUCCGUGCCGUAGCUAACGCUUUAAGUACCCCGCCUGGGGAGUACGGCCGCAAGGCUAAAACUCAAAGGAAUUGACGGGGCCCCGCACAAGCGGCGGAGCAUGCGGAUUAAUUCGAUGCAACGCGUAGAACCUUACCUGGGUUUGACAUGGAUCGGGAGUGCUCAGAGAUGGGUGUGCCUCUUUUGGGGUCGGUUCACAGGUGGUGCAUGGCUGUCGUCAGCUCGUGUCGUGAGAUGUUGGGUUAAGUCCCGCAACGAGCGCAACCCUUGUUCACUGUUGCCAGCACGUUAUGGUGGGGACUCAGUGGAGACCGCCGGGGUCAACUCGGAGGAAGGUGGGGAUGACGUCAGGUCAUCAUGCCCCUUAUGUCCAGGGCUUCACGCAUGCUACAAUGGCUGGUACAGAGAGUGGCGAGCCUGUGAGGGUGAGCGAAUCUCGGAAAGCCGGUCUCAGUUCGGAUUGGGGUCUGCAACUCGACCUCAUGAAGUCGGAGUCGCUAGUAAUCGCAGAUCAGCAACGCUGCGGUGAAUACGUUCCCGGGGCU
This 1346-nucleotide ribosomal RNA is filed under the name uncultured bacterium. RNAcentral's name for it is "bacterial SSU rRNA". It matches the Rfam family "Bacterial small subunit ribosomal RNA", at positions 28 to 1381 of the family's 1533-position model. The record is from RNAcentral.